GUCCACGCCCUAAACGAUGUCAACUAGGUGUUGGGAAGGUGACUUCCUUAGUACCGCAGCUAACGCGUGAAGUUGACCGCCUGGGGAGUACGGCCGCAAGGUUAAACUCAGAGGAAUUGACGGGACCCGCACAAGCGGUGGAUGAUGUGGAUUAAUUCGAUGCAACGCGAAAACCUUACCUACCCUUGACAUGCCAGGAACUCUGCUGAGAGGUGGAGGUGCCCGAAAGGGAGCCUGGACACAGGUGCUGCAUGGCUGUCGU
This 262-nucleotide ribosomal RNA is filed under the name uncultured bacterium. RNAcentral describes it as "partial 16S ribosomal RNA". It matches the Rfam family "Bacterial small subunit ribosomal RNA", at positions 793 to 1055 of the family's 1533-position model. The record is from RNAcentral.